This 254-nucleotide ribosomal RNA is filed under the name uncultured bacterium. RNAcentral describes it as "partial 16S ribosomal RNA". It matches the Rfam family "Bacterial small subunit ribosomal RNA", at positions 524 to 776 of the family's 1533-position model. The record is from RNAcentral.
UACGUCGGGUGCGAGCGUUGUCCGGAAUUAUUGGGCGUAAAGAGCUCGUAGGCGGUGUGUCACGUCGGCCGUGAAAACCUGCAGCUUAACUGUGGGCGUGCGGUCGAUACGGGCAUCACUGGAGUUCGGCAGGGGAGACUGGAAUUCCUGGUGUAGCGGUGAAAUGCGCAGAUAUCAGGAGGAACACCGGUGGCGAAGGCGGGUCUCUGGGCCGAUACUGACGCUGAGGAGCGAAAGCGUGGGGAGCAAACAGG